UUCCUCAGCAGUGGGGAAUAUUGGACAAUGGGCGAAAGCCUGAUCCAGCCAUGCCGCGUGUGUGAAGAAGGUCUUCGGAUUGUAAAGCACUUUAAGUUGGGAGGAAGGGCAGUUACCUAAUACGUGAUUGUUUUGACGUUACCGACAGAAUAAGCACCGGCUAACUCUGUGCCAGCAGCCGCGGUAAUACAGAGGGUGCAAGCGUUAAUCGGAAUUACUGGGCGUAAAGCGCGCGUAGGUGGUUUGUUAAGUUGGAUGUGAAAUCCCCGGGCUCAACCUGGGAACUGCAUUCAAAACUGACUGACUAGAGUGUGGUAGAGGGUGGUGGAAUUUCCUGUGUAGCGGUGAAAUGCGUAGAUAUAGGAAGGAACACCAGUGGCGAAGGCGACCACCUGGACCAACACUGACACUGAGGUGCGAAAGCGUGGGGAGCAAACAGGAUUAGAUACCUGGGGUAGUCCAGGUA
RNAcentral lists this ribosomal RNA (466 nucleotides) under Pseudomonas sp. RNAcentral describes it as "bacterial SSU rRNA". It matches the Rfam family "Bacterial small subunit ribosomal RNA", at positions 344 to 801 of the family's 1533-position model. Lineage: Bacteria; Pseudomonadati; Pseudomonadota; Gammaproteobacteria; Pseudomonadales; Pseudomonadaceae. The record is from RNAcentral.